RNAcentral lists this ribosomal RNA (497 nucleotides) under uncultured bacterium. RNAcentral's name for it is "partial 16S ribosomal RNA". It matches the Rfam family "Bacterial small subunit ribosomal RNA", at positions 28 to 507 of the family's 1533-position model. The record is from RNAcentral.
GAUGAACGCUGGCGGCGUGCCUAAUACAUGCCAGUCGAGCGAACAGACGAGGAGCUUGCUCCUCUGACGUUAGCGGCGGACGGGUGAGUAACACGUGGAUAACCUACCUAUAAGACUGGGAUAACUUCGGGAAACCGGAGCUAAUACCGGAUAAUAUAUUGAACCGCAUGGUUCAAUAGUGAAAGACGGUUCUGCUGUCACUUAUAGAUGGAUCCGCGCCGCAUUAGCUAGUUGGUAAGGUAACGGCUUACCAAGGCGACGAUGCGUAGCCGACCUGAGAGGGUGAUCGGCCACACUGGAACUGAGACACGGUCCAGACUCCUACGGGAGGCAGCAGUAGGGAAUCUUCCGCAAUGGGCGAAAGCCUGACGGAGCAACGCCGCGUGAGUGAUGAAGGUCUUCGGAUCGUAAAACUCUGUUAUUAGGGAAGAACAAAUGUGUAAGUAACUAUGCACGUCUUGACGGUACCUAAUCAGAAAGCCACGGCUAACUACGUG